GGGGGCUGAGGGAGAAGUGUUGAGGUGGCCCCUGCAGGACCUGGCUCUGAGUGGGGGCUCACUGAUAUUGGAGCAAGGAUGGGGAAAUAAGGAGAUGUGGGCUUCACCUUCUGUGACUGUCCUGGGGAGAAGGUGUUACAGUUUGGUGGCACUCUGGAGACUGUGAAGGACUGUCACAUCCUGCUCCUGAUGGAUUGGCCCUAAGCACAUGGCUGCCAGGAAUGCUGACCCAGCACAGAGGAGGAGGCCAGGAGUGAUGAAGCUGAAAAAAAUUGGCCUAGAGCUAUGAAGCCCUGGUGACUACUAUGUAAUGACGAUGGUGAUGUGAUUGGGAAGAUCCAGAGGGAUUCAUGGAGAUGGGAAGUCAACAACGGCCACAGAGUCAAUAGGAGUGGAGGCCCUGAUGAAAUUGGGUUCCAGAGUCCUCUGAUCAUCUUCCUCUAAUAUUUCCCCCCUUCUGU
Molecule: long non-coding RNA, 461 nt
Organism: Erinaceus europaeus (western European hedgehog)
Lineage: Eukaryota; Metazoa; Chordata; Mammalia; Eulipotyphla; Erinaceidae
Exons: 3
Source: RefSeq, a predicted model, not a curated record